Molecule: long non-coding RNA, 313 nt
Filed under: Musa acuminata (dwarf banana)
Lineage: Eukaryota; Viridiplantae; Streptophyta; Magnoliopsida; Zingiberales; Musaceae
Description: long non-coding RNA (MACU_LNC009031)
Source: RNAcentral
CUUUCUCUUCUUCUUUUUUAUGAUAAGACUUUAGAGUCUUAUCAUUUGGUAUCAGAGCGACGAUCCUUGGCAUUCUCGCUGCAACGAAGCUAUCAAAAAAAAAAAAAAAAAUGAAAGAAAGAAAGAAAGAAAGAGAGAAGAAGAAGCAGCAACCGCACCACGCAUCCCUGCUUCCCCUGCUUCCGGCCAGCCCACCCGCUGCCCGUCGCUGCUCUCCGGCUAGCAACUGGCUCUGCCCCACUUCCGGCCAGAGUCCACCGUCGCCUCUCACCCGAGCCACCACCGCUGCCAAGAGACGACGCUGCUAGCGUCC